Long non-coding RNA from Diorhabda sublineata, 646 nucleotides. RefSeq lists it as uncharacterized. Lineage: Eukaryota; Metazoa; Arthropoda; Insecta; Coleoptera; Chrysomelidae. The transcript is spliced from 2 exons. The record is from RefSeq and is a predicted model, not a curated record.
AAAUGACAGUUCGUAAAAUGAUAAGUGACUAGCAAACUAGUGGUAAAACUACUCAAAAUAUAUUUUAUUACUCAAAAUGGGCGACGAAAUAACUUUUAAUGACCAACGUAUUCAAACGAUAACAGAAUUCGAUGCAGUUCAUCCCAGACAAUGCAAUUUGUAUUUUGCUCCGGAUUAUAAAGGACUUCGGAUACAUUUUGACAAAGAAAUAAUUAGUCAUCGUCCAUGUGGUUCCUGUUUUUAUUGUAAGGAAAAAGUUUAUGAGUAUUCCAUAAAUGAAGAAUUACGAGUGUAUCAUAACUGCAAAAAAAGCUGAAUAACAAAGAAACCGUUAGUGGUGAAGAUACAAUAAUAGAUAGAUAAAUUUCCAUUGUUAUUGUUGUUAAAAAAUAUUUAGUGAUGUAAGUCAUAAAGUACUCAAGAAAAAAUUAUACCUCAUGAAUGUACCUAAAAGUUUUUGCCAUUAUAAAGCUGGGUAUUUGUAUGUACAUAGUUCAUUAAUCCUAUUAUGGAUAUUAAUAAAAACUUCUUGUUGUGUAUUUUUAAAGAUUAUAACUGAAACAAAGUACCUAUUAUACUUACCAAUAAUCUUUAUUUUAUAUUUUGUAUAGUAAUUUAUUUUGUUAUAAAUCUUUUUAUAAACUAA